UGGGCAGCUCUAGUGCGACGUAAAUGAACAAAUCAAAUCAAAUCAAAUUGACCGCACAACCAGGAAAGUCUCUCCAACUUCAAGCUCUACAUUUUUCUUGCAAAUUGAAGGGAAGUGAAAAUUAUGAUUCACUAUUAUAAAUAAGCAGAAAAACACUUUUGAACUCCGAAAUUAUUUUAUGACCUUGUAAUUUUGUUUUUACAAUUUUAGAUUUUUACCUUUAUAGCCAGGAUGAACCAAUCCGAUGCACCUGCUGCUGAUGAAUUUAACAGCAUUGAACCUGUAGAUCCAGACGAUCCUUUAGCGGUUGAAGUAAACGUCGAUGGUGAAUCUCUUCCUGCUAGCCCUCGACGUAGAAGAUAUGCCGAAGCAAGUCCAAGGCCAUCAGCUACCAGAAGAUUUUUUGAUUUUAGUCACGCCACCCGGGGACAGAUUUGUCUUAGAGUCGCACAAUUGAAUGGAAUCUUAAUCAUCCUACUGUUUGCAGGAUAUGGAUUCUACAAUUUCGUUAUGGUGUUAAUCAGCUAUUUCGCUAAGCCCUAAAUACGUCUUCAUGUCAACUUCCGGGACAGCAAUGUAAAGAAAUCUUUUGUAUUUUAACAUUUUACUCUCGGCAUUGUUUGAUUUUUGUAUUUAGUUCCUAAUAAACGUUUUUGAUUUUCAA
Molecule: long non-coding RNA, 664 nt
Organism: Parasteatoda tepidariorum (common house spider)
Lineage: Eukaryota; Metazoa; Arthropoda; Arachnida; Araneae; Theridiidae
Source: RefSeq, a predicted model, not a curated record